UGGGGAAUAUUGCACAAUGGGCGCAAGCCUGAUGCAGCCAUGCCGCGUGUAUGAAGAAGGCCUUCGGGUUGUAAAGUACUUUCAGCGAGGAGGAAGGCGUUGUGGUUAAUAACCGCAACGAUUGACGUUACUCGCAGAAGAAGCACCGGCUAACUCCGUGCCAGCAGCCGCGGUAAUACGGAGGGUGCAAGCGUUAAUCGGAAUUACUGGGUGUAAAGCGCACGCAGGCGGUCUGUCAAGUCGGAUGUGAAAUCCCCGGGCUCAACCUGGGAACUGCAUUCGAAACUGGCAGGCUAGAGUCUUGUAGAGGGGGGUAGAAUUCCAGGUGUAGCGGUGAAAUGCGUAGAGAUCUGGAGGAAUACCGGUGGCGAAGGCGGCCCCCUGGACAAAGACUGACGCUCAGGUGCGAAAGCGUGGGGAGCAAACA
RNAcentral lists this ribosomal RNA (427 nucleotides) under uncultured bacterium. RNAcentral describes it as "partial 16S ribosomal RNA". It matches the Rfam family "Bacterial small subunit ribosomal RNA", at positions 355 to 774 of the family's 1533-position model. The record is from RNAcentral.